GGCUGGUCCUAUGGUAGUGGGUUAUCAGAACUUAUUAACAUUAGUGUCACUAAAGUUGGUAUACAACCCCUCACUGCUAAAUUUGAUUGGCUUUAA
Cercocebus atys (sooty mangabey) is the source of this 96-nucleotide unclassified non-coding RNA. It matches the Rfam family "Y RNA". From Rfam's summary of the family: Y RNAs are components of the Ro ribonucleoprotein particle (Ro RNP), in association with Ro60 and La proteins. The Y RNAs and Ro60 and La proteins are well conserved, but the function of the Ro RNP is not known. Lineage: Eukaryota; Metazoa; Chordata; Mammalia; Primates; Cercopithecidae. The record is from Ensembl.